This 510-nucleotide ribosomal RNA is filed under the name uncultured Actinomycetes bacterium. RNAcentral describes it as "bacterial SSU rRNA". It matches the Rfam family "Bacterial small subunit ribosomal RNA", at positions 87 to 610 of the family's 1533-position model. The record is from RNAcentral. Lineage: Bacteria; Bacillati; Actinomycetota; Actinomycetes.
AUGGAUUAGCGGCGAACGGGUGAGGAACACGUGAAGAAUCUGCCCUCCACAUUGGGAUAACACCGGGAAACCGGUGCUAAUACCGAAUAUUGAAACAUAAGUGGCAUCACUGAGUUUUGAAAGAAUUUCGGUGGAGGAUGACUUCGCGGCCUAUCAGCUAGUUGGUGAGGUAAUGGCUCACCAAGGCAACGACGGGUAGCCGGCCUGAGAGGGCGACCGGCCACACUGGGACUGAGACACGGCCCAGACUCCUACGGGAGGCAGCAGUGGGGAAUAUUGGGCAAUGGAGGAAACUCUGACCCAGCGACGCCGCGUGCGGGAUGAAGGCCUUCGGGUUGUAAACCGCUUUCAGUAGGGAAGAAGCGAAAGUGACGGUACCUACAAAAGAAGCACCGGCUAACUAUGUGCCAGCAGCCGCGGUAAUACAUAGGGUGCAAGCGUUGUCCGGAAUUAUUGGGCGUAAAGAGCUCGUAGGUCGUUUGUUACGUCGGAUGUGAAAACCUGAGGCUC